Long non-coding RNA from Clupea harengus (Atlantic herring), 752 nucleotides. RefSeq lists it as uncharacterized. The transcript is spliced from 2 exons. Lineage: Eukaryota; Metazoa; Chordata; Actinopteri; Clupeiformes; Clupeidae. The record is from RefSeq and is a predicted model, not a curated record.
UGUCAGUGCUGGAGUUCAUUGUCUCCAUAUGUGUGUCUGCGUUUGCCUGCAAAGCCACCUGCUCUUCUAACACUGAGAUGCCUUUCUUCCCAACCAGUGUGGUUCCUCCUGUUCAUGACUUCAGUGCUGAUGGCAAACAUGACUGUCUGCCCCCAGAAUACACCACUACCCAAGAGUCAUGUGACUCCAUCUAGAUUUACAGGGGAGGCUUUAUGUCUCAAGCAAAUGGUAACCUUGUGACUCUCUUUUGAAUAAUUUGUGUCUUCAAUACAUUCUUGAAGAGAUGCAUGCAAAUAAAGCAAUUCCUAUAUACUCACUCAAAUGUAUCUAUUAAAUCGAUACUCUAGUUAACUAGCAUGCUCCAAGUGACCUGCUUUGCAUUCCAGGGUCUCAAUCAAUCAAUUCAACUAUUGGAAAGCAUCCCAUUAGCCAUGAGAAUCCAUCCUAUAAAGUCACCAUUACAUAUAGGAAUGAUAUGAGCAAACACAUAGUGGAAAGUAUAAUAUGUAUGAAGGUUAUUGUUUCUCUCUGUAGUAUUGUAUUAUAUUGGCCCGCAUUAUUUAGACUUUUAAUAUAAUAUAUAGGCCCACAUUAUUUAGACUUUUAAUAUAUUAUUUAGGCCCACAUUAUUGAGACUUUGCUAAGAUGAAUAUGAAAAUGAUGGAUAAUGUUGCCUCUCUUGUCCGCAGCAUCAAAUUCUUGUCAUUGUAUUACGAUUGUGUACGUACUUUCAAUAAAAUAAUUACAUUAAA